AGAGUUUGAUCAUGGCUCAGAUUGAACGCUGGCGGCAUGCCUUACACAUGCAAGUCGAACGGCAGCGCGGGGCAACCUGGCGGCGAGUGGCGAACGGGUGAGUAAUAUAUCGGAACGUGCCCUGGAGUGGGGGAUAACGCAGCGAAAGUUGCGCUAAUACCGCAUACGAUCUAAGGAUGAAAGCGGGGGAUUCGCAGGAACCUCGUGCUCCUGGAGCGGCCGAUAUCUGAUUAGCUAGUUGGUGGGGUAAAGGCCUACCAAGGCAUCGAUCAGUAGCUGGUCUGAGAGGACGACCAGCCACACUGGAACUGAGACACGGUCCAGACUCCUACGGGAGGCAGCAGUGGGGAAUUUUGGACAAUGGGCGAAAGCCUGAUCCAGCAAUGCCGCGUGAGUGAAGAAGGCCUUCGGGUUGUAAAGCUCUUUUGUCAGGGAAGAAACGGUGUGGGCUAAUAUCCCGCACUAAUGACGGUACCUGAAGAAUAAGCACCGGCUAACUACGUGCCAGCAGCCGCGGUAAUACGUAGGGUGCAAGCGUUAAUCGGAAUUACUGGGCGUAAAGCGUGCGCAGGCGGUUUUGUAAGUUUGUCGUGAAAGCCCCGGGCUCAACCUGGGAAUUGCGAUGAAGACUGCAAGGCUUGAAUCUGGCAGAGGGGGGUAGAAUUCCACGUAGCAGUGAAAUGCGUAGAGAUGCGGAGGAACACCGAUGGCGAAGGCAGCCCCCUGGGUCAAGAUUGACGCUCAUGCACGAAAGCGUGGGGAGCAAACAGGAUUAGAUACCCUAGUAGUCC
This 791-nucleotide ribosomal RNA is filed under the name uncultured bacterium. Its description in RNAcentral is "bacterial SSU rRNA". It matches the Rfam family "Bacterial small subunit ribosomal RNA", at positions 8 to 796 of the family's 1533-position model. The record is from RNAcentral.